UCUGAGAGUUGAAUAUGAGGUAGAUGUUUGUAAUAAAGUGAUCUGAGAGUUGAAUGUGAGGUAGAUGAUUGUAAUAAAGUGAUGUGAGAGUUGAAUAUGAGGUAGAUGUUUGUAAUAAAGUGAUGUGAGAGUUGAAUGUGAGGUAGAUGUUUGUAAUAAAGUGAUCUGAGAGUUGAAUAUGAGGUAGAUGUUUGUAAUAAAGUGAUGUGAGAGUUGAAUAUGAGGUAGAUGUGUGUAAUAAAGUGAUCUGAGAGUUGAAUAUGAGGUAGAUGUGUGUAAUAAAGUGAUGUGAGAGUUGAAUAUGAGGUAGAUGUUUGUAAUAAAGUGAUGUGAGAGUUGAAUAUGAGGUAGAUGUUUGUAAUAAAGUGAUCUGAGAGUUGAAUAUGAGGUAGAUGUGUGUAAUAAAGUGAUCUGAGAGUUGAAUAUGAGGUAGAUGUGUGUAAUAAAGUGAUGUGAGAGUUGAAUAUGAGGUAGAUGUUUGUAAUAAAGUGAUCUGAGAGUUGAAUAUGAGGUAGAUGUUUGUAAUAAAGUGAUGUGAUAGUUGAAUAUGAGGUAGAUGUUUGUAAUAAAGUGAUGUGAGAGUUGAAUAUGAGGUAGAUGUUUGUAAUAAAGUGAUGUGAUAGUUGAAUAUGAGGUAGAUGUUAGUAAUAAAGUGAUCUGAGAGUUGAAUAUGAGGUAGAUGUUUGUAAUAAAGUGAUGUGAGAGUUGAAUAUGAGGUAGAUGUUUGUAAUAAAGUGAUGUGAGAGUUGAAUAUGAGGUAGAUGUUUGUAAUAAAGUGAUCUGAGAGUUGAAUAUGAGGUAGAUGUUUGUAAUAAAGUGAUCUGAGAGUUGAAUAUGAGGUAGAUGUUUGUAAUAAAGUGAUGUGAGAGUUGAAUAUGAGGUAGAUGUGUGUAAUAAAGUGAUGUGAGAGUUGAAUAUGAGGUAGAUGUGUGUAAUAAAGUGAUGUGAGAGUUGAAUAUGAGGUAGAUGUUUGUAAUAAAGUGAUGUGAGAGUUGAAUAUGAGGUAGAUGUUUGUAAUAAAGUGAUCUGAGAGUUGAAUAUGAGGUAGAUGUGUGUAAUAAAGUGAUGUGAGAGUUGAAUAUGAGGUAGAUGUUUGCAAUAAAGUGAUCUGAGACAAGGAGAAGGACAAAGUUGGGACAAAGUGGACUGUAACCUGGGAAGGAAGCUGGGAGGAGCCGAGGUGGAAGUAGAUAGCCAGGUAGAGGACUAUUGUGGAAUAGGUAGGGAGUGGGAGCC
Astyanax mexicanus (Mexican tetra) is the source of this 1236-nucleotide long non-coding RNA. RefSeq lists it as uncharacterized. Lineage: Eukaryota; Metazoa; Chordata; Actinopteri; Characiformes; Acestrorhamphidae. The record is from RefSeq and is a predicted model, not a curated record. The transcript is spliced from 3 exons.